RNAcentral lists this ribosomal RNA (471 nucleotides) under uncultured organism. RNAcentral describes it as "partial 16S ribosomal RNA". It matches the Rfam family "Bacterial small subunit ribosomal RNA", at positions 335 to 797 of the family's 1533-position model. The record is from RNAcentral.
ACUCCUACGGGAGGCAGCAGUGGGGAAUUUUGGACAAUGGGCGAAAGCCUGAUCCAGCAAUGCCGCGUGUGUGAAGAAGGCCUUCGGGUUGUAAAGCACUUUUGUCCGGAAAGAAAUCCUUGGCUCUAAUACAGUCGGGGGAUGACGGUACCGGAAGAAUAAGCACCGGCUAACUACGUGCCAGCAGCCGCGGUAAUACGUAGGGUGCGAGCGUUAAUCGGAAUUACUGGGCGUAAAGCGUGCGCAGGCGGUUUGCUAAGACCGAUGUGAAAUCCCCGGGCUCAACCUGGGAACUGCAUUGGUGACUGGCAGGCUAGAGUAUGGCAGAGGGGGGUAGAAUUCCACGUGUAGCAGUGAAAUGCGUAGAGAUGUGGAGGAAUACCGAUGGCGAAGGCAGCCCCCUGGGCCAAUACUGACGCUCAUGCACGAAAGCGUGGGGAGCAAACAGGAGUAGAUACCCCUGUAGUCCCA